RNAcentral lists this non-coding RNA (1264 nucleotides) under Schistocephalus solidus. RNAcentral's name for it is "Eukaryotic large subunit ribosomal RNA". It matches the Rfam family "Eukaryotic large subunit ribosomal RNA", at positions 2390 to 3399 of the family's 3401-position model. Lineage: Eukaryota; Metazoa; Platyhelminthes; Cestoda; Diphyllobothriidea; Diphyllobothriidae. The record is from Rfam by way of RNAcentral.
AGAAUCAGCGGGGAAAGAAGACCCUAUUGAGCUUGACUCUAGUCCGACUCUGUGAAGAGACAUGGCAGGUGUAGUAAUUAGUGGGAGGCGGGAAUCGCCCUGCGGGGUCUCUCGUUCGACACUGAAAGACCACUACCAUCCUUGUUUCUUUAGUUUUUCAGUGAAGCGGGACCUGUCAAUUAUUUUCCAUGUUGAAAUUUAACACACGUUAGUGCAUUGUUCGCACCCCGUGUGUGGCUGGCGUGUCCGCGUCUUGGUCGCAACUGUCUGGCCAGGGCUAGUGAUAUGCGUGUUUUUCCCUUAACUGCCUGUAGGUUGUUGCCACAAGGUGGUAUUCCAUAGCUGGUAGACGGUGGGCGUGUGUGUCCCGUCUUGUUGAUAUCAGGCAAAUUUGGCGAAGUGCGACCCGACCUGAAGACAGUGUCAGGCGGGAGUUUGACUGGGGCGAUGCAUCUGUCAAAUCGUAACGCAGGUGUCCCAAGGUGAGCUCAGCCAGGACAGAAACCUGGCGUAGAGUAAAAGGGCUAAAGCUUACUUAAUUUUGAUUUUCAGUACGAAAACAGACCGUGAAAGCGUGGCAUAGCGAUCCUUUUGAUCAACCGAUAUUCAAGUGGCCAAGCGUUCAUAGCGACGUCGAUUUUUGAUCCACCGCUGUCGGCUCUUCCUAUCAUUGUGCAGCAGAAUUCACCAAGCGUUGGAUGGUUCACCCACUAAAAGGGAACGUGAGCAAGGUUUCGACCAUCGUGAGAUAGGUUAUUUUUACCCUACUGAUGGUUGAACUGCGUAAACAGUGAAGUGCAAUCUGGUCGUUGCAAUUGUAAUUCUGUUUAUUACGAGAGGAACCACGGGUUCAGACAUUUGGUACAUGUGCCUGGUCGAGCGGCCAAUGGUGCGAAGCUACCAUCUGAGGGAUUAAGACUGAACGCCUCUAAGUCUGAAUCCCGUCCAGAGAUGCGCAACGAUACAGUUUGGCCUGCCACGUGGUUGGGCAGAUAUAGUACUUUCCGGUCAGGUUUCAUUCGGAUGGGGUCAUCGUGCCCUACCGAACCUGGUCGGUCUGGAAUUGUUAUGCCAGAGCUGUGACCAUAACCACAUGCAUCGGGCCAUGUUGUUGUGGGGUCGAUACGAUAUCCGAUUGUGGUGUGAGCGUGGUGGCACUAAAUCGUGUGUAGACGACUUAAUGUUUUGUCGGGGAGACGUGAGUAUUCGAGCAGCUAUCACACGGCGAGGUAUUAAUUCCUAUCCCUAUCCGACGUAAGGAUUU